GUUAAGAUGGCAGAGCCUGGCCAUCGCAAAAGAUCUAAGCCCUUUUCACAGAGGUUCAAAUCCUCUUCUUAACU
Molecule: non-coding RNA, 74 nt
Organism: Cynoglossus semilaevis (tongue sole)
Lineage: Eukaryota; Metazoa; Chordata; Actinopteri; Pleuronectiformes; Cynoglossidae
Source: Ensembl